Molecule: long non-coding RNA, 394 nt
Filed under: Carica papaya (papaya)
Lineage: Eukaryota; Viridiplantae; Streptophyta; Magnoliopsida; Brassicales; Caricaceae
Description: long non-coding RNA (CPAP_LNC002626)
Source: RNAcentral
AUUAAGUUUAGAAUGAUUAAAGAAAGAGAGAGAGAGAAAGAGAAGAGAUACUGAGUGUUUUAGGAAGCCACCAACCAGAAUUGAGCAAGUUCUCAGCUUCCCGUCUGUGGACAGGUGUGGAGGAAAUAUAUCAGGAUGAUCACUGAAUAGUGAAGGGAACAUUUCAUCAUACUGAAGAUGCAAAUGUUGCAACAAUUGAAAGAAUAAAUGAGAAGUAUGCAACACAGAUAAUAAAAUAACGAGGUAAAAUUUCAUACGCACUCUCUUCCUCUGCCGCUCUGGCUCUCUUCUUCGUACACACUCUCCCUCUUUUGUUGCUCACAGACCGUAAAACAUGCAGCAGACUGUACUGAGAACUUGCCAGCGUAAGUAAGAGAGCCAGUAUUCUCAUGUU